Molecule: non-coding RNA, 45 nt
Filed under: Schistosoma haematobium
Lineage: Eukaryota; Metazoa; Platyhelminthes; Trematoda; Strigeidida; Schistosomatidae
Source: RNAcentral
AUCCAGCUAACGAGUCCCAAAUAGGACGAAACGCGCGUCCUGGAA